AACGAACGCUGGCGGCAUGCCUAACACAUGCAAGUCGAACGAGACCUUCGGGUCUAGUGGCGCACGGGUGCGUAACGCGUGGGAACCUGCCCUUAGGUUCGGAAUAACUCCCCGAAAGGGGAGCUAAUACCGGAUAAUGUCUUCGGACCAAAGAUUUAUCGCCUUUGGAUGGGCCCGCGUUGGAUUAGCUAGUUGGUAGGGUAAAAGCCUACCAAGGCGACGAUCCAUAGCUGGUCUGAGAGGAUGAUCAGCCACACUGGGACUGAGACACGGCCCAGACUCCUACGGGAGGCAGCAGUGGGGAAUAUUGGACAAUGGGCGAAAGCCUGAUCCAGCAAUGCCGCGUGAGUGAUGAAGGCCUUAGGGUUGUAAAGCUCUUUUACCCGGGAUGAUAAUGACAGUAACGGGAGAAUAAGCUCCGGCUAACUCCGUG
Molecule: ribosomal RNA, 433 nt
Filed under: uncultured bacterium
Lineage: Bacteria
Description: partial 16S ribosomal RNA
Rfam family: Bacterial small subunit ribosomal RNA
Source: RNAcentral